This 253-nucleotide ribosomal RNA is filed under the name uncultured bacterium. RNAcentral describes it as "partial 16S ribosomal RNA". It matches the Rfam family "Bacterial small subunit ribosomal RNA", at positions 524 to 776 of the family's 1533-position model. The record is from RNAcentral.
UACGGAGGGUGCGAGCGUUAAUCGGAAUUACUGGGCGUAAAGGGUGAGUAGGUGGUUUAAUAAGUUAGCUGUGAAAUACCUGGGCUUAACCUGGGCAGGUCAGCUAAGACUGUUAGGCUAGAGUAUAGGAGAGGGUAGUGGAAUUUCCGGUGUAGCGGUGAAAUGCGUAGAGAUCGGAAGGAACAUCGGUGGCGAAGGCGGCUACCUGGCCUGAUACUGACACUGAAUCACGAAAGCGUGGGGAGCAAACAGG